Molecule: small nuclear RNA, 133 nt
Filed under: Cervus hanglu yarkandensis (Yarkand deer)
Lineage: Eukaryota; Metazoa; Chordata; Mammalia; Artiodactyla; Cervidae
Description: U2 spliceosomal RNA (ENSCHYG00000026665.1)
Rfam family: U2 spliceosomal RNA
About the family: U2 is a small nuclear RNA (snRNA) component of the spliceosome (involved in pre-mRNA splicing). Complementary binding between U2 snRNA (in an area lying towards the 5' end but 3' to hairpin I) and the branchpoint sequence (BPS) of the intron results the bulging out of an unpaired adenosine, on the BPS, which initiates a nucleophilic attack at the intronic 5' splice site, thus starting the first of two transesterification reactions that mediate splicing.
Source: Rfam by way of RNAcentral
UUCUAUGUCUUGGCAUUUUGGCUAAGAUCAAGUGUGGUAUCUGUUCUCAUCAGCUUAAUGUCUGGUAUCCUCUAUCCAGGCUCCCAUGUGGCAAUAGGGGUAAAGAGACAUAAGAGACACAGGUUCAGUCCUC